This 1248-nucleotide ribosomal RNA is filed under the name Klebsiella sp. BT-IDSG2015-2. Its description in RNAcentral is "bacterial SSU rRNA". It matches the Rfam family "Bacterial small subunit ribosomal RNA", at positions 97 to 1341 of the family's 1533-position model. Lineage: Bacteria; Pseudomonadati; Pseudomonadota; Gammaproteobacteria; Enterobacterales; Enterobacteriaceae. The record is from RNAcentral.
GGCGGACGGGUGAGUAAUGUCUGGGAAACUGCCUGAUGGAGGGGGAUAACUACUGGAAACGGUAGCUAAUACCGCAUAACGUCGCAAGACCAAAGUGGGGGACCUUCGGGCCUCAUGCCAUCAGAUGUGCCCAGAUGGGAUUAGCUAGUAGGUGGGGUAACGGCUCACCUAGGCGACGAUCCCUAGCUGGUCUGAGAGGAUGACCAGCCACACUGGAACUGAGACACGGUCCAGACUCCUACGGGAGGCAGCAGUGGGGAAUAUUGCACAAUGGGCGCAAGCCUGAUGCAGCCAUGCCGCGUGUGUGAAGAAGGCCUUCGGGUUGUAAAGCACUUUCAGCGGGGAGGAAGGCGGAUGAGGUUAAUAACCUCGUCGAUUGACGUUACCCGCAGAAGAAGCACCGGCUAACUCCGUGCCAGCAGCCGCGGUAAUACGGAGGGUGCAAGCGUUAAUCGGAAUUACUGGGCGUAAAGCGCACGCAGGCGGUCUGUCAAGUCGGAUGUGAAAUCCCCGGGCUCAACCUGGGAACUGCAUUCGAAACUGGCAGGCUAGAGUCUUGUAGAGGGGGGUAGAAUUCCAGGUGUAGCGGUGAAAUGCGUAUAGAUCUGGAGGAAUACCGGUGGCGAAUGCGGCCCCCUGGACAAAGACUGACGCUCAAGUGCGAAAGCGUGGGGUGCACACGGGAUCAGAUACCCUGGUAGUCCACGCUGUAAACGAUGUCGAUUUGGACGUUGUGCCCUUGAGGCGUGGCUUCCGGAGCUAACGCGUUAAAUCGACCGCCUGGGGAGUACGGCCGCAAGGUUAAAACUCAAAUGAAUUGACGGGGGCCCGCACAAGCGGUGGAGCAUGUGGUUUAAUUCGAUGCAACGCGAAGAACCUUACCUGGUCUUGACAUCCACAGAACUUAGCAGAGAUGCUUUGGUGCCUUCGGGAACUGUGAGACAGGUGCUGCAUGGCUGUCGUCAGCUCGUGUUGUGAAAUGUUGGGUUAAGUCCCGCAACGAGCGCAACCCUUAUCCUUUGUUGCCAGCGGUCCGGCCGGGAACUCAAAGGAGACUGCCAGUGAUAAACUGGAGGAAGGUGGGGAUGACGUCAAGUCAUCAUGGCCCUUACGACCAGGGCUACACACGUGCUACAAUGGCAUAUACAAAGAGAAGCGACCUCGCGAGAGCAAGCGGACCUCAUAAAGUAUGUCGUAGUCCGGAUUGGAGUCUGCAACUCGACUCCAUGAAGUCGGAAUCGCUAGUAA